RNAcentral lists this ribosomal RNA (433 nucleotides) under uncultured bacterium. RNAcentral's name for it is "partial 16S ribosomal RNA". It matches the Rfam family "Bacterial small subunit ribosomal RNA", at positions 29 to 507 of the family's 1533-position model. The record is from RNAcentral.
AGCGAACGCUGGCGGCAUGCCUAACACAUGCAAGUCGAACGAGACCUUCGGGUCUAGUGGCGCACGGGUGCGUAACGCGUGGGAACCUGCCUUUAGGUUCGGAAUAACUCAGAGAAAUUUGAGCUAAUACCGGAUGAUGUCUUCGGACCAAAGAUUUAUCGCCUUUAGAUGGGCCCGCGUUGGAUUAGCUAGUUGGUGGGGUAAAGGCCUACCAAGGCGACGAUCCAUAGCUGGUCUGAGAGGAUGAUCAGCCACACUGGGACUGAGACACGGCCCAGACUCCUACGGGAGGCAGCAGUGGGGAAUAUUGGACAAUGGGCGAAAGCCUGAUCCAGCAAUGCCGCGUGAGUGAUGAAGGCCUUAGGGUUGUAAAGCUCUUUUACCCGAGAUGAUAAUGACAGUAUCGGGAGAAUAAGCUCCGGCUAACUCCGUG